GCAGGUAUAGUAUAGCGAUUAUUAUGUGACCUUCCCAAGGUUAAGAUGAGGGUUUGACUCCCUUUACCUGCUCCA
This 75-nucleotide transfer RNA is filed under the name Mollicutes bacterium. RNAcentral describes it as "tRNA-Gly". It matches the Rfam family "tRNA". Rfam says of the family: Transfer RNA (tRNA) molecules are approximately 80 nucleotides in length. Their secondary structure includes four short double-helical elements and three loops (D, anti-codon, and T loops). Lineage: Bacteria; Bacillati; Mycoplasmatota; Mollicutes. The record is from RNAcentral.